This is a long non-coding RNA of Dendroctonus ponderosae (mountain pine beetle), 1203 nucleotides long. RefSeq lists it as uncharacterized. The record is from RefSeq and is a predicted model, not a curated record. The transcript is spliced from 2 exons. Lineage: Eukaryota; Metazoa; Arthropoda; Insecta; Coleoptera; Curculionidae.
UCUCUACCUAAAAUGAUUAUAAAAGAAAUCGUCUAAUUUUUUUCUGUAGAUUUUGUUUGAUAAUUUUGUCUUUUGGUAAUCAGUGGUUGGAAUUAUCCACAGAUAUAAUCUGAGGUGUAGGUACUAGCGAUGGAAAGAAUCGAAUUAAGUAAUUCGAAUUAUUGGAUAAUGAGAAUUAAUUUGAUUAAAAUUACAAAUGAUCCCGAAUUACUUUUAGCUAACGCGAUAAGAGUUUUACAUUUUCUAUGGAUAAAAAAAUCAGGAAGAACUGAUAGAGGCAUCGAGAUGGAUCAAUUAUAUCCAAAAUUAUUUUUGUUAUUGCAUUUUAUUAUCAGUAGAGAAUUUCAUUUUCGUGACACAAAAAUGUUGCAAUAUGAAGUAAAGUAAAGAGCAGGUUGCUAUCUCGCACCGUUUCUGAGAAAUGUAUUUUCAAAAUAGGUACCCUAUGCAAGGAAAUCAAAAUUAUCGCUCAACGAUAGGAGAAAAUGAUCGACAAUGGGGUAUCAAAUGAUUGCAAAUUUAAGGCCAAAUUUAGCAAUGAGGAGAAAAUGUUGGUGUUACAUUUAAAAAAACAAAGGUAGGGACUACUAUGAAGCAGUUUCAUGCUAAUUAAAUGAAUAGAUAGGUAUAGUAGAAUAGAAUUAGAAAAUUGAAAUGAAGUGGAAAAUCAAUUAUUUUUUCUUUUCGUAAAUUUGUUCAUGUUGAUGUGUUUAAAAACAAAUCUAUUUUAUUUCUGAGCCCAAGAUUAUAUUUUGUAAGUUCUGUAUGUUCUGUAUUCCGGAAAUAGAUUCUUGCAAAUUUCUGCGCUAGGUAUUCCAAUUAUUGUUGCAAAAUUAAUAAAACUCGCGUUUUAAGUGAUCUAAGUUCAGUUACUAGCUAGUGUAACCAAGCGAUAAAUUAUCAAUUUGACCUUAAUAAUAUUAUCAGAUCAGGUUUACUGAACUUCAGAGUUUGCGACAAUCAUUAGUCAGGUGAUGUUCACUAAUUAAUGCUCGAUUAUCUUCUAAACUGGCACGGUUAUCCUGACUGUUAAUUAGGAUUCAUUAUAGAUAUUGAUAGAAUAAUGUAAACGCAAUUGCCGAUAUUUUAUUAUUUUUCGAUUGGGUCAAAUAUUUUGCUUUUUUGUAUUAUUAGUGUUGUAAGUAUACUGAAAUCGUUAAUGUUUGAAAGCAUCGUUUUAGUAAUAUAAUCUACUUUACGAUA